GGAAUAUUGGACAAUGGGCGCAAGCCUGAUCCAGCCAUGCCGCGUGUGUGAAGAAGGCCUUAGGGUUGUAAAGCACUUUCAGUGGGGAGAAAGGUUAUUCACCUAAUACGUGAGUAAAUUGAUGUUACCCACCGACGACGCACCGGCUAACUCCGUGCCCGCCGCCGCGGUAAUACGGAGGGUGCAAGCGUUAAUCGGAAUUACUGGGCGUAAAGCGUACGUAGGUGGUUUGUUAAGCCAGCUGUGAAAGCCCCGGGCUCAACCUGGGCACUGCAGUUGGAACUGGCAAGCGAGAGUAGGGUAGAGGGGUGUGGAAUUCCAGGUGUAGCGGUGAAAUGCGUAGAUAUCUGGAGGAACAUCAGUGGCGAAGGCGACACCCUGGACUCAUACUGACACUGAGGUACGAAAGCGUGGGGAGCAAAC
This 423-nucleotide ribosomal RNA is filed under the name uncultured bacterium. Its description in RNAcentral is "bacterial SSU rRNA". It matches the Rfam family "Bacterial small subunit ribosomal RNA", at positions 358 to 773 of the family's 1533-position model. The record is from RNAcentral.